This 484-nucleotide ribosomal RNA is filed under the name uncultured bacterium. RNAcentral describes it as "partial 16S ribosomal RNA". It matches the Rfam family "Bacterial small subunit ribosomal RNA", at positions 30 to 507 of the family's 1533-position model. The record is from RNAcentral.
AUUGAACGCUGGCGGCAGGCCUAACACAUGCAAGUCGAGCGGAUGAAGGGAGCUUGCUCCUGGAUUCAGCGGCGGACGGGUGAGUAAUGCCUUGGAAUCUGCCUGGUAGUGGGGGAUAACGUCCGGAAACGGGCGCUAAUACCGCAUACGUCCUGAGGGAGAAAGUGGGGGAUCUUCGGACCUCACGCUAUCAGGUGAGCCUAGGUCGGAUUAGCUAGUUGGUGGGGUAAAGGCCUACCAAGGCGACGAUCCGGAACUGGUCUGAGAGGAUGAUCAGUCACCCUGGAACUGAGACACGGUCCAGACUCCUACGGGAGGCAGCAGUGGGGAAUAUUGGACAAUGGGGGAAAGCAUGAUCCAGCCAUGCCGAGUGUGUGAAGAAGGUCUUCGGAUUGUAAAGCACUUUAAGUUGGGAGGAAGGGCAGUAAGUUAAUACCUUGCUGUUUUGACGUUACCAACAGAAUAAGCACCGGCUAACUUCGUG